This 4493-nucleotide unclassified non-coding RNA is filed under the name Pocillopora damicornis (cauliflower coral). RNAcentral's name for it is "chromatin-remodeling ATPase INO80-like, transcript variant X2". The record is from RNAcentral. Lineage: Eukaryota; Metazoa; Cnidaria; Anthozoa; Scleractinia; Pocilloporidae.
CCGCAUUGCAAGCAUUUUGCCAACACGACGGACCAAAUCCGCCAUAACAGCGGAGCGAGUUGAAGUGGGGUGGAUAUGGUUUCACAAAGUAAAAUUUCUUCGAAUAUGUGGCGAGAACAGACCAGGUGACCACGGGUUUUACCUGGCUUUGUUUCCAUGGCAUCCCCCCAAUCAUCUCUUGCACCCCCUCUUCAUGUGCAACACUUGGAAAAAGCUCUCCGUUUGGAUCCUCUCCUCACUUACUUAGAAGGCGUCUUCACAGAUCCUUACUUGUCAACCAUAAGUGAUGAUGAAAGUGAAUUAAGUGAUAAUGAAAAGGAAGUCUCCUUAAAAGGUGACAGUCUUUUAAAUGGCACCAGCAAUGGAUUGACGUUAAAUGGAUGUUUGAGUCAUGAUGAGUUGCGAAUUGACAAAACAAGAUUGUACAACUUCAGUAAAGUGAAGAAAGAUAGGAGAUGGUUGAAGGAGGUGCUUCUGAGUGACAGUUCUGACACCUCAUGUGAUGAGGAUGAUGAGGCACCACUAACGGAAGAAGAUCUUCAGGAGAUGCUUUGGCUACACAAGCAGCAAAAAGUUGCCCAACAGAUGUACCAUGUUGACAAAGAUCUUUCGAGAUACCAACAUUACAGUGCAAGCUUGCUUUCAGACCAAGACAAGUACAAUGACCAUCAGAAACAAGCUGGAUUAAAGAAGCUCAAAAGAAAGAAGUUGAAAGAUAGUAAGGUAAAACUUUCAAAGGAAAAGAAGGAGAAGGAUAAAGUGAAAGUUAAAAAGAAAAAGAGGAAUUCUGAUGAUUUGGAUGAUGAUCAGAGGCAGCUGACAAUGGAAGAAAAACUUAUCAAGAGAACUCUGAUACGUCGCAAGGAAGCUGAUGCUAAACGGCGGAAACUGUGGGCUUUGAUAGUCAGGAAGGAGAUACCAAGGGCUCAUAGACAAAAGUCUUCUGCGAGGAACAACAUGCUUCAAAACUGCAAAAAGCUUGCUCAGCUGUGCCAGAAAGAGAUGCGGAAAGAAGCACAAAGAUCUCAGAAGGUUACUCAACAGACUGCUCCAAAGGCUAGGAGGCUCUCAAGAGAGAUGCUAGUUUAUUGGAGGAAAUAUGAGAAAGUUGAGAAAGAACACAGGAAAAGGGCAGAAAAAGAGGCUCAGGAACAACGGAAGCUGGAUGAUGAAUUCAGAGAGGUACGCAGACAACAGCGGAAACUGAAUUUCUUAAUCACACAGACUGAGCUUUAUGCUCAUUUUAUGAGCAAAAAAUUGAAGGGUUCACAGCCUGAUGAAGGCACACAGGAGAUUUUGAGAAAAUUGGAUGAACCAUCAGCAAAACAGAGUGUGAAGAUGGUCCUUGGUGGAGUGCUGAUUGAUAUGGAGAAUGCUGAUACAUAUAAUGCUGAUGAAAUGAAGUCUCAAGCUCUGUCAAAUGCACAGAGAGCUAUUCAAGAUCAGGAGGCCAGGACAAGAGAUUUUGAUGCUAAUUUCCAACAAGAAUCUGGUAAAAAGGUUUCAAUGUCACAAGCAUUUUUUGACCAGAGUUAUAGCUUAGCAGAUCCCUCAAUAAACAUGGAUGAAGCUCAUCCACAACCAACAGUCUUUGAAGGAGAACUUAAAUCAUACCAGCUUAAGGGAAUGAACUGGCUUAUCAACUUGUAUGAACAAGGUAUUAAUGGCAUUCUAGCAGAUGAGAUGGGUUUGGGAAAGACAGUGCAGUCUAUAGCCUUUCUCUCUUAUCUAGCAGAGACACAUAAUAUUUGGGGUCCAUUUCUUGUGGUUGCUCCAGCUUCCACACUGCACAACUGGCAGCAGGAAGUCAGCAGAUUUGUUCCACAAUUCAAGGUGUUGCCAUACUGGGGAAACCAGGGUGAUAGAAAAUCUCUAAGGAAAUACUGGACUCAGAACCAAAUUCAUAUAAAUGACUAUGAGAAUGCACCGUUCCAUGUGCUUAUAACAAGCUACCAAUUGAUUGUGCAAGAUGUGAGAUACUUUCAGCGCAUAAAGUGGCAGUACCUUGUACUUGAUGAAGCUCAAGCAAUCAAAAGUAGUGCCAGUGUGCGGUGGAAGAUUCUACUUGGUUAUUCAUGCAGGAACAGACUUCUUUUGACAGGAACACCCAUUCAGAACAGUAUGGCUGAGUUGUGGGCACUGCUUCACUUCAUAAUGCCAACCCUGUUUGAUUCCCAUGAGGAGUUCAAUGAGUGGUUCUCAAAGGACAUUGAAAAUCAUGCAGAAAAUAAGUCAGCUAUUGACCAAGACCAACUUUCAAGACUUCACAUGAUCUUAAAACCUUUCAUGUUAAGGAGGAUUAAGCGCGAUGUAGAGAAUGAACUUUCUGAAAAGAUUGAGAUCAAGCUUGUUUGUCAUCUGACUACAAGACAAAGAUGGCUGUACCAAGCCGUGAAAAACAAGAUUUCCAUCGAUGACCUCGUUUACACGUCAACAUCUUCAUCAUCCACCAGCGCGACAACAAGCAGUUUGAUGAACCUGGUCAUGCAGUUCAGAAAGGUCUGUAACCACCCUGAACUGUUUGAGAGAAGGGACGUUCGCUCUCCAAUUCAUGUGGAAAUUCCAUCAUUCCAUCUGCCAAAGCUUAUAUUUCGAGAAGGCAUCCUGGAGUCUUCUUCACCCGGUAGAACGAAAAUCCUCUACAAUCUGCUGAAUAUCGGAUCCGAAGAGUACAUUCAUCAUUCUUUGUAUGAUAGUCACUCCUCAGGUCCUCCGAGUGACUGCUUUUCAUUUUCAAGAUUUAUCAAUUUGUCUCCAGCACAAUUAUCAGCUUUGGCGUUGAAGGGACUCGUGUAUAGGUUGUUCACUUUACUCGUUCUUCUAAAGGAAAUUACUAUUCUUCAUCAUCAACGAUUUUGGGCCCAAGACAAGCUGAGGAGUAGGUGUUUGGGUCGACAUGAUCUCAUCAUUUGGCCAGAUUCCUUCACGUCCUUUCCAAGCAUCCGGUCCAGUUCAGUGCUUUCGUCGUUGGUGUUCACUGGCUACACCUCACGAGUGUCUUCCCUCGUGACUCAUAAUGUUCAGGCCAUUUUGGACGAUGACGAUCGCAAUCCUGCAAGGAGCAAAGGUAAAGAGGCUCUGAGAGCGCCGAGAACUCGACGGAUAUCUAGCAGCCGUGCUGUAUCGCCAACUUCCCCAUCAAAGAGGAAAGAUGCUCGUCAAAGAGGCCAGCACCCACACCACAGCGUCAUAUCUCCGACUGGGAAGCUCCCUCCUUCUCCUCUCAAACAUUCCCCAACAGGGGCGUUUUCUCCAACGAAACAUUAUGGACACUCAUUCUUCCCUGCGCAGCUUUCACCUUCCAAACAUCAUCAUAGUGUACCGCUGUCACCUUCAUGGACUCAGCAAAAUCCGCAUGGGUCCCACCCGGGAGAUUUGCAAAUAGGAGAGCACCAUUCUUCGUUAGGACACGUGCCGCCCACUCACCCAAUACAAGGAUCUCCUGCGAUACAUUCCCCGCCCGGACAUGGCGGAACUCCCCAGCGGUCUCCCAUGGGACAUGUAUUACCCCCGCUACAAUCGCCUCCAGGGAAAAUGGCUCCGCCAACAUCUGUAUCAUCUGUGCAGCACUUGCAUCCCUUCUCCCCCACGAGGCAUGGUUCAUCGCUGCCGAUGAGUUUACCCGAAGGAUUUCAAUUGAACACUGCACCCAGAGUGUAUCCUAUAGACAGAACACUGCAGCCGACAAUUCUGCCACCAUUUUUGUCGACAUAUAUACCGAGGGUAACGGCAGGGACUGAUGUUUAUCGCUGCAGUGAUCGCAGUGCCGCUUACGAGAUUCAGAACUUGUUACAGGGGGGUUCAGAACUGUACAGGAACCUCUUGAUGUACGGCACUCCAGAUCCUGAACACGUCAGUUACGUGAAGAAGCAUUUGUUCCCUGCUCCUCUUGGCGGGCUGGAGGCUGCCACUCCUCAGAAUGGAUGGACCUUCGUGCAAAUUCCAGACCGUAACUUGUUGAUCACAGACAGUGGUAAAUUAACUGUUCUGGACGGACUGCUGACCAAACUGAAGAUGCAGGGACACAGGGUGUUAAUCUAUUCACAAAUGACGAAGAUGAUUGAUCUCUUAGAGGAGUACAUGACUUACCGUAAGCACAAGUACAUGCGACUUGACGGUUCAUCGAAAAUCUCAGACAGGAGAGAUAUGGUGGCUGAUUUCCAGUCUAAUGCGGACAUUUUCGUGUUUUUACUGAGUACACGAGCAGGUGGUCUGGGGAUCAAUCUUACAGCUGCGGAUACGGUAAGACAUCUAAAAGAGGUCAUCGUCAAUGAGAAAACUUUGGAUGGCUGAGCCAUUCUAAAAGCACCGUGAGCCCUUUACACUCCAACAUCAGUAUGCAUAUUCUCCAUACUGUUCUCCACAUAUUUUCUUAGGUGCCGAAAAGGAGAUGUGUUUAAAAAUCAAGAGCUUCUCUUGCCAUUGAUCACUUCCUUUAUUCUCAUGACCUCAAUGUAUGAACCAGGACUGAUAUUGUAAGGAGAGAGUAGAUA